Molecule: long non-coding RNA, 10371 nt
Filed under: Linum usitatissimum (flax)
Lineage: Eukaryota; Viridiplantae; Streptophyta; Magnoliopsida; Malpighiales; Linaceae
Description: long non-coding RNA (LUSI_LNC004458)
Source: RNAcentral
UUCUACCAAUUCAUUCAAUAUAGUCUCGGGAACUUCGAUGUCUUGCCCACAUCUUAGCGGUGUUGCAGCUGUAAUCAAGGCAAUGCAUCCAGAUUGGUCACCUGCUGCCAUAAAGUCAGCAAUUUUAACCACUGCUUACACAGUUGACCUUAGUGGCAAGCCAAUCUCCAAUGAGCAGAAUUCUCCUGCUACUGCCUUUGAUAUGGGUGCUGGCCAUGUGAACCCACCAAAAGCUUUGGAUCCAGGUUUGAUAUAUGAUAUCCAACCAGAUGAUUACGCUGCGUAUAUCUGCAGUUUGGGUUACAAUGACGCACAAGUAAGAAUGAUCGUGCAGUGGAAAGUGAAGUGCUCGAACGAAUCUUCCAUACCCGGUGCUCAACUGAACUACCCUACAUUUUAUGUCUCUCUGGGUUCUAGUCCACAAACACAUACCAGAACAGUCACCAAUAUUGGCACGCAUAACUCGACUUACAGCAGCAAGGUAUUCCCACCAGAAGGUGUCGAUGUUAAAGUCGAGCCAAGUGAGUUUAAGUUCAACGAGCUGAAAGAGAAAGCAACGUAUUCGAUAACAUUCAACAGGGUCGGAAAUGCGACAGGAACUAUGAGCCAAGGUUCCUUGGUGUGGUCAUCUACUGAUGAUAGGUACAAAGUUGUGAGCACAAUUGCUGUGGUAUUUGUUUGAUGUAUAAGGAAUCUACGCCUAUCCGCUAGUAAGGGUUAAAAUGAAGCUUAAUAUUCUAGGGAUUUCAAUCUGUUGCUGCUAUAAAUAAAUAAUGUUGUUAUUAUGUAAUUACAAGUACGUGGUAUAGAGUUAAUGCCUCCGCAAUUCCAUGGAUCACUUCACGGUAUUGCAGUGCUCUCUCGACAGAACCACCAAAUCUCGAGUUACGGGUUACGAACAAUCAAAACCCUUAAAAAUAUUUCUUAACUUUAUUUUGCUAUUAUUUGAAGGAAUUAACCGGGUAAAACCUCAAAUUUUAGUCAUUCCUAACAUGCAUAUCAAAUAUUAACCAAUGUAAAAAUGGUCAAUUUUCAUGUAAAAAUGGUCAAAAUUUGACCAUUUUCACAAGAAAAUUUCAAAAUUUUCAAAUCGGCUAAUAUUUGACAUGCAUGUUGGAAAUGACUAAAAAUCAAAUUUUGCUUUGAUAACCCAUGUAAAUAAUCAUCGAAUGAAGUUAAAAAUCAACUUUACUUGGUGUUUUGUUAGUGUUGAACAUUUUCAAAUUGGCUUACGUUAUGGGUGUUGAGCCAUCGUUACAUGAAUUUUAUUUUAUUAACUUUGACCAUACACAAUUUUGUGGGAACCAAAANNNNNNNNNNNNNNNNNNNNNNNNNNNNNNNNNNNNNNNNNNNNNNNNNNNNNNNNNNNNNNNNNNNNNNNAUACUUUUUUUACUUAUUUUAUUAAUAUUAAAUAGUCUAAUGUUGUAUAUAUCAUACAAAAAAUGAAAAGAUUCCAUCGUGGCCAGGACUUAAAUUCGGGCCUUUCAUGUAAGAGCCAAAUAUCCUGACCAACUAAACUACAACGGAUUUGCUUGGCAUCCUUACUUUUUCCUAAACAAACUAGAAAAUAAACCUUAGUACUCUUGCGUUUCGAUUGUGGCUAAGUGCCUCACUAUUUUAAAUAGUAAUCCUAUGUUAUGUUUGGCGAUAGGAAUUAUGAUUUCUAGGAAAGUUGAAUUAAAAUAGUACAAAAUAGUUGAGUUGAGGUUGAAAGGAAUUGAGAAAAAAGUGCUAAAUUCAAAGGAUACGAAAGAUUCCUAAAAAAGUUUAUUUUCCCAUGAAAUAGAUUGAGAAACACGAUUCCAAUUGAAAUCCUUAUUUCCUUUGAUUCAAGUUUCCAUCCACAAUAUUUUUUUACUCCAACUCAAUUUUUUUAAACUAAUCUCAAUUCAACUUUCCUAGGAAUCAUGAUUUCUAUUGCCAAACAUAGGCUUAGUAACUCGUUAGUUUCUCGAAAUUUGAUCAUACCUAGUACCCUUGCGAUUUUCCCGUGCCUUACUGCCUCGCACGAUUGCAGUUCGAGAUCUUAGUACCUCACAUUCCGUUCCUACUACUCCGUGCCUCGCAGUUUGUUCGUGGCUUAGUGCCUCACACUUUCAUCAUGGCUCUAGUGGCUCGUGGUUUGUUCAUGGCUUAACGCCCCGCAUGUUGACCGUGGAUGUGACCUUCGUGUUAUAAUGAACACUGUGCUUGGCUACUGCAUCGUAGUUUUUCUGCAACGCUUGCUUGGUUAGAUCUUUACUUUCAGUGCUUAAACGUUGUGCUUUCAGAUUUCUCCAUCUCAGAAGUUUGAUUUGACAAGAAAAAAUCACACUUAGUUUUCCCUCACACGUCGAAGCUUACAAUGAAAGGUGCAACUGGCGGGGUUAAAGACAAUCUGCUAAAGAAAAUCUGCAACUUGUUUCUUGGAAACAAUGUAAAUGGAAAUCUUAUCCUUAUGCUACAUCAACGGAAUACCACCACAAGAUGGAGAGAUAAUCCAUUUUGGAAGUUCAUGACUGAUACAAUAACUCUAAUUAGUACUAUCAAGUAAAAGGAAGUUUAGCAGUUUCACCAUAGUUACACACAAAGAAACAUGAAAGCCUUACUUCUCAUCACAUUCUUCUUCUUCUUCUUCUCCUUACAAGAAGCAUCAGCUUCUGGAAAAAGCAACUUAGACACUUACAUUGUGUUUCUACAGAAACCAGAGAGCCUAGUAUCCACACAAUCAACUGAUUUUGAUUUAUAUUGCUGGUACCAAACAUUCCUUCCUGAAACUGUAUUAAGCUCAAGUGAAGAACAGCGCAUGGUGCAUUCAUAUCGAAAUGCGAUCACCGGCUUUGCUGCUAAGCUUACACCAGAAGAAGCAAAAGCAAUGGAGCAGAAGGAAGGGUUCGUGUCAGCAAGACUUGAGAGAACAUUGUCUCUACAUACAACUCACACUCCCAACUUCCUGGGUCUCCAUCUAGGAGCUGGUUGGAACUCUUCAAAUCUAGGAGAAGGAGUGAUCAUAGGUAUGAUUGACAGUGGCAUCAAAUAUGAUCAUCCUUCGUUUUGUGACCAAGGUAUGCCUCCACCUCCUGCAAAAUGGAAAGGCAAGUGUGAGUUCAAUGGUAAGAUGACUUAUAACAACAAGCUCAUAGGAGCUAGAAGCUUUCCCUCUCCAGGGCAUGUUUUGGAAGAGGUUUUCCAUGGAACUCAUACUGCUGCGGAAGCUGCUGGAACUGCCGUGGAAAGUGCCAACCUGUUUGGACAAGCGAACGGUACAGCAAUGGGGAUCGCCCCGUUUGCCCACUUGGCGAUAUACAAGGCCUGUUCAACUUCUUUUGAAUGCUUUGAGAGUUCGGUGUUGGCAGCAAUGGAUGUUGCUAUAGAGGAUGGUGUUGAUGUGCUUUCACUGUCAAUUGGAAUUCCAUCAGAUCAUCUUUAUGAUGAUGUAAUUGCAUUGGGUGCAUUCAGAGCCAUGCAAAAUGGUAUCUUUGUGAGCUGUUCAGCUGGCAACGGUGGACCAUAUAGCUCUUCUUUAGCAAAUGAGGCACCUUGGAUUUUAACCGUUGGAGCAAGUACCAUUGAUAGGGAUAUCAGGACAACAGUGAUAUUAGGUAACAAUGAGCAAUUUCAAACCAAUCUCUUUUCCAGCCUAAGGACUUUCUUCCACAGCAACUUCCAUUUGUCGAUGUUGGCGCCAGUGGCAGUAAUUCAGCAACAUUUUGUGACGAAGGAUCACUGAAGAACAUUGACGUUACAGCCAAGAUUGUUCUCUGUCAGAUUGGAGGUAAUUCUGGAUCAGUCCACAAAGGAGUAGAAGUAAAAGAAAAUGGCGGAGUAGGCAUGAUACUAAUCAAUGGUUUGGGCAGUGGGUCUUUCACUAUACCUGCAGCCCACGUCCUCCCUGCAUCACACAUCAAUUACAAGGACGGAUUAGCGAUCAAAGCUUAUUUGAAUUCCACGUCAUCUCCUACAGCAUCAAUCUCAUUCCAAGGUACCGUGAUUGGCAAGUUGACUGCUCCACAAGUAGCAUUAUUCUCGUCUAGAGGUCCCAGCACACUAACUCCAGGGAUCCUGAAACCCGACAUCAUCGGUCCUGGGGUAAGCAUUUUAGCUGCCUGGGGAGAGUCAGUAGACAAUACUACAAAUUCAUUCAAUAUAAUCUCAGGAACUUCAAUGUCUUGCCCACAUCUUAGCGGUAUUGCAGCUAUAAUCAAGGCAGUUCAUCCAAACUGGUCACCUGCUGCCAUAAAGUCGGCCAUUUUAACCACAGCUUACACAGUUGACCGAAGUGGCAAGCCAAUCUCCACUGAGCAGGAUACCCCUGCUACUGUGUUUGAUAUGGGUGCUGGCCAUGUGAACCCACCAAAAGCUUUGAGUCCUGGCUUGGUAUAUGAUAUCCAACCGGAUGACUACAUCGGCUAUCUCUGUGGUUUGGGUUACAAUGACACGCAGGUAAGCAUAAUCGUCCAGAGAAAAGUCAAGUGCUCGAUUGAAUCUGCCAUAUCUGAGGCUCAAUUGAACUACCCAACAUUUGCUAUCUCAUUAAGUUCUAGGCCACAAACCUAUACCAGAACAGUUACUAAUGUUGGUCUGCCUGACUCAACCUACACCAGCAAGGUAUCCUCACCAGAUGGUGUGGAUGUUAAAGUCACACCGAGUGAAAUUAAGUUCAAGGAGCUGGAACAGAGAGAAACAUAUUCCAUAACAUUCAGCAGAGUGGGAAAUGUGACGGGACCUAUAAGCCAAGGUUCCUUGAUCUGGUCAUCUGCUGAUGCUCGCUACAAUGUCGUCAGCACAAUUGCAGUGGUAUUUGUUUGAUGAAAUUCUACCUAGCUAUGAUUAAUGGGAUUUGGUGUUUAUCUGUUGCUGCUAUCAGUCAAUAUUGUUGCAAUUAUGUUUGUUUCAGUGUAUGGUUACACUCCUAAAUUUUAGUUAUUCAAAUCAUUAUCAAGCAUGAUUGCAUUUACAGAAAGCAACAGACCCAUCUGUGGCCGGAUUUCAAAUUUACUCGUUUAAUCGAGUAAUCUCCGACUACUAAAUUAAAUGAUAAUGAACAGCCUCAAUCUUUUUCAAAGACACUCAAAAUAAUACAAGAAGUUGGUAACAUACGAGAUGAGUUAUCAUUAAAACGAAUUAUCAUAUGUGGGUUCCCAAUGUUUCUAGAAGUUGGGUAAAACAUCAUCAUUGCCCAUCUGCAGAACUUGUUUACUGCAUUACAUGUGGAAGCUGCGAAUCUGGAGAGGAAGCUGCAAUUUUGUUGUCCGAAACAAAAGGUAACCGACAAAUCAACAAGCUCUUCCACUAUCCUUAAACUGCAUAAAAAAAGACUGGUUCAAAAAAAAGACUGAUUGUCUUGUACCAGAUGUAAGAUAUUUGCAGCAGUAGCAAACAUAUUGCAUUGUUUCCAACGCUAAAAAUUAGUGCAAAAAAACACAAAAGGUGUCGGCAAAGGCAGCAUCUAGUUCUGUUUCUAUAUAUUGAUGUCAAAUGUUCAAACUUUCUGGAAGAGGAACUUCGCAGUUCACACCUUUGUGACCACAUAAAAAAAGACAUGAAAGCCUUUCUACUCAUUUCCCUCAUUUUAACUCCCACGUUAGUCUUCUUCUCCUUCCAGGAAACAUCAGCUUCUGGGAAAAGCGACUUAAACACGUACAUUGUGUCUUUAGACAAACCAGGAGGCCUAUUAUCCACGCAAUCACUUGAUUUUGAUUUAAAUGGCUGGUACAGAACAUUCCUACCCCAAACUAUCUUAAAAAGCUUAACUGAACAAGACCGCAUGGUCCAUUCCUACCGCAAUGUGGUCACAGGAUUUGCUGCUAGGCUUACACCAGAAGAAGCAAAAGCAAUGCAGCAAGUGGAAGGGUUUGUGUCAGCAAGGGUUGAGAGACCUUUGUCUCUACAUACUACUCACACUCCCGAGUUCUUGGGUCUGCUGCAGAAUGUAGGAGCUGGUUGGAACACUUCAAAUCUUGGCAAAGGAGUGAUCAUUGGUAUCAUUGACACUGGCAUCAAGUACGACCAUCCUUCGUUUUGCGACCAAGGUAUGCCUCCACCUCCUGCAAAAUGGAAAGGCAAGUGUGAGAUCAACGGUAAGAUGACUUGUAACAACAAGCUCAUCGGUGCCAGAAGCUUUGUCUCUUCGGGGAAUAUAUCGGAAGAAUUUAUCCAUGGAACUCAUACGGCUGGAGAAGCUGCUGGGAUUCCAGUGGAAGGUGCCAAUGUGUUUGGGCAAGCUAAUGGAACAGCAAUGGGGAUCGCCCCAUUUGCCCACUUGGCAAUGUACAAGGUCUGUAUAAAUGAUGAUGAAUGCUUUGAGAGUUCCGUAUUGGCAGCAAUAGAUGCAGCUAUAGAGGAUGGUGUUGAUGUGCUUUCACUGUCACUUGGAAAUCCUACAGAUAACCCUUUCUAUGAUGACGCUAUUGCAUUGGGUGCAUUCAGAGCCAUUCAAAGUGGCAUCUUUGUCAGCUGCUCAGCUGGAAACCAGGGACCAAAUAGCUCUUCUGUAGUAAAUGAAGCACCUUGGAUUUUAACAGUUGGAUCAAGUACCAUUGAUAGGGAUAUCCAAACAACAGUGACACUAGGAAACAAUGAGAAGUUUCAUGGCCAGUCCCUUUUCCAGCCUAAGGACUUCCACCCACAUCAAGUGCCACUUGUCGAUGCUGGCGCCAGUGGCAAUGCAUCAGCAAAAUUUUGUACAGGAGGAUCACUGAAGAACAUUGAUGUUAAAGGAAAGAUUGUUCUGUGCGAGGUGGAAGUUAAUAAGGGAAGAGUCGGCAAAGGAGUAGAAGUAAAAGCAAAUGGCGGAGUAGGAAUGAUCCUAAUCAAUAGCUUGGCCCAAGGGUAUACUACUAUACCUGAUGCCCAUGUCCUCCCUGCAUCACACAUCAAUUACAAGGAUGGAUUAGCAAUCAAAGCUUAUUUGAACUCCACCUCAUCUCCUACUGCAACAAUCUCAUUCCAAGGUACCUUGAUUGGCAAGUCUAGUGCUCCACAAGUAGCUUCGUCCUCGUCGAGAGGUCCUAGCAUACAGACUCCUGGGAUCCUGAAACCCGACAUUAUUGGUCCUGGGGUGGGCAUUUUAGCUGCUUGGGGAAAGUCGGUUGACAAUACUACCAAUUCAUUCAAUAUAAUCUCAGGAACUUCAAUGUCUUGCCCACAUCUUAGUGGCGUUGCAGCUUUGAUCAAGGCAGUGCAUCCAGACUGGUCUCCUGCUGCCAUAAAGUCGGCCAUCUUAACCACUGCUUACACAGUAGAUCGAAGUGGCAAGCCAAUCUCAAAUGAGAAAAAUUCCCCUGCUACUGCCUUUGAUAUGGGUGCAGGCCAUGUAAACCCACCAAAAGCUUUGAGUCCUGGUUUGGUAUAUGAUAUCCAACCAGAUGAUUAUGUUGGUUACCUCUGUGGUUUGGGGUACAAUGACACACAGGUAAACAUGAUCGUGCAGCGAAAAGUUAACUGUUCGAAUGAAUCUGCCAUUCCGGAGGCUCAAUUGAACUACCCUACCUUCGCUAUCUCAUUAAGUUCUACUCAACAGAUCUAUACCAGAACAGUCACUAAUGUUGGUAUGCCUGAAUCAACUUACACUAGCAAGGUAUUCACACCGGAUGGUGUGGAUGUUAAAGUCACACCUACUGAGUUUAAGGUCAAAGAGCUGGAAGAUAAAACAACAUAUUCAAUAACAUUCAGCAGAGUGGGAAAUGUGACGGGACCUAUAAGCCAAGGUUCCUUGGUCUGGUCAUCCGCUGAUGCUCGCUACAAUGUCGUGAGCACAAUUGCUGUUGUAUUUGUUUGAUGAAUUUAAACUUAGGCGCUUGGAGGGCCUAGCUAAUACAGUAAUACAAGUGGGAUUGGGUGUUUAUCUGUUACUUCUAUCAGGCAAUAAUGUAUGUUCAUUAUUAUGCUUGCAUUCACAAAAAAGCAACAAGCUUCCAUCAGCAGGUGCCUUGUGAAAUCUUCUCUGUUGAUGGUCAGAAAUCGAACGAUGCAAGCUUGUUCAUUUCUUUCUUUUUGUCAAGUGUGUUUUCACUUCGUUAAACUGUUUGUAGAUUUACUGUAUUGAACUAAAGAUAAAUAUGGAUAAGGGAAAAUGUGUUAGUAACUAACCUAGUCAUGGAUGGGAGUCGUCUGCGAGACAAAGCCUCAAUGGCUCUUGCCAAGUAUUUCAAAGGGAUUUCAAUCGUAAUGCAGCAUGCCCUAGCAGAGUGAGCAUGACAGUAUUUAGAGUCUGGCAAUGUAUAUGGUAGGCCUCAUCCUAGCGAUUGAUGUGAUCAGGGUAAACAUAGCCAUUAACUUAAGCCAAAGAAAAGAAUGAACUAACUAGAAACUGACUAUCUUACUCCCAAUUCAUCUGCAUAUGGAAUCAGAACUUUUUUGUUGGAAAUGAUGUAAAAGACAAUCUACAGGCAUGUCAAUAUGCUUAUAACAAUGGAGAAAAAGCCUUCGAAAGAUACAAUAAAUGUUCUUAGGAACGAGAAAGAGUCAGUGAUUAUAACAUUGUGAUGCUUACAACUUUUAACUUUAAAAAGUCCACGAAAGAUACAAUAUUACAUUGUUUCCAACGCUUUGAUAACUGCAAACCCAAAAUUCAAAGCAUAAUGCCAAAGGUGCAGGCAAUGCAGCAUAUGGUAUUCUUAAUUUCUUACUAUAUAUAUUGAUGUCAAUGAUUCAGGCUUUCAAAAUAGGAAGCUUACAACUUUACCGUUACAAAAGAACCAUGAAAGCCUUUCUCUUCAUUUCCCUUACUUUAGCUUCUGCAUUAUUCUUCACCUCUUUGCAGGAAACAUCAGCUUCUGGAAAAAGCAAAUUAAACACUUACAUUGUAUUUGUAGAGAAGCCAGAAAGCCUAUUAUCCACACAAUCAACUGAUAUAAAUGACUGGUACAAAACAUUCCUUCCUGCAACUACCUUAAAAAGCUCGAGCGAAGAGACACGCAUCGUGCAUUCAUAUCAGAAUGUGAUCACGGGCUUUGCUGCUAAGCUUACACAAGAAGAAGCAAAAGAAAUGGAGCAGAAGGAUGGGUUUGUCUCAGCAAGAGUUGACCGAGCCUUGUCUCUACAUACAACUCACACUCCUAAGUUUUUGGGUCUCCGGCAGAAUCUAGGAGCCGGUUGGAACGCUUCAAAUCUUGGCAAAGGAGUGAUUAUUGGUGUUAUUGACAGCGGCAUCCAGUAUGAUCAUCCUUCGUUUCGCGACAAAGGUAUGCCUCCACCUCCUGCAAAAUGGAAAGGCAAGUGUGAGAUCAAUGGCAAGAUGACUUGUAACAACAAGCUCAUCGGUACUAGAAGCUUUGUCUCUCCGGGAAAUCUAACGGAAGACGAACUCCAUGGAACUCAUACUGCUGGGGAAGCUGCUGGAACUGCUGUGGACGGUGCCAAUGUGUUUGGACAAGCUAAUGGAACUGCAAUGGGGAUCGCCCCAUUUGCCCACUUGGCGAUGUACAAGGUUUGUAUAACUAGUUUUGAAUGCUUUGAGAGUAUGGUAUUGGCAGCAAUGGAUGCUGCUAUAGAGGAUGGUGUCGAUGUGCUUUCAAUGUCACUUGGAGAUCCGUCAGAACAUCUUUAUAACGAUUUAAUGGCAUUGGGUGCAUUCAGGGCCAUGCAAAAUGGCAUCUUUGUGAGCUGCGCAGCUGGCAACGAAGGACCAGAUAGCUCUUCUUUAGUAAAUGAGGCACCUUGGAUAUUAACAGUUGGAGCAAGUACCAUUGAUAGGGAAAUCAGGUCAACAGUGACAUUAGGUAACAGUGAGCAAUUUCACGGCCAAACCGUGUUCCAGCCUAAGGACUUUCAUCCACAACAAUUUCCAUUAGUCGAUCCUGGCACGAGUGGCAAUGAUUCAGCGAUAUUUUGUGAUGAAGGGUCACUAAAACACAUUGAUGUUACAGGCAAGAUUGUUCUAUGCCAGACUGGAGGUGAUAGUGGAAAUGUCGACAAAGGAGUAGAAGUAAAAAAUAAUGGUGGAGCGGGCAUGAUUGUAAUCAAUAGUUUGGCCAUGGAGUCUUUCACUAGAGCUGCAGUCCAUGUCCUUCCUGCAUCACACAUCAAUUACAAGGACGGAUUAGCGAUCAAAGCUUACUUAAACUCCACGUCAUCUCCUACUACAGCAAUUUCAUUCCAAGGUACCGUGAUUGGCAAGUUGAGUGCACCACGAGUAGCCAGUUUCUCAUCUAGAGGGCCCAGCAGGCUAACUCCGGGGAUCUUGAAACCUGACAUCAUCGGUCCUGGGGUAAGCAUUUUAGCUGCCUGGGGAGAGUCAGUUGACAAUGCUACAAAUUCAUUCAAUAUAGUCACGGGAACUUCAAUGUCUUGCCCACAUCUUAGCGGUGUUGCAGCUAUAAUCAAGGCAGUGCAUCCAAAGUGGUCGCCUGCUGCCAUAAAGUCAGCCAUUUUAACCACUGCUUACACAG